AAAAAAAAAAAGUAACAACAGCACACAUGGAGAUGGAAAAGCUUCUUUUAAUUCUCUCAUGCACCAAUUUGCUUUACAAAAGCAUGUAAUUUCAAUAACAGCAAGUCUACUUGCAGCUUAUCUGUAAUUAUCGGUUGCACUUAUAAAAUAAUUUUCAAAGAUAUGAGCAGAAGGUGGUCAAAAGUAAAAACCUGUUUUUUAUCCAACUUGUGGGAAACAAUUUAUCUAUAACUGAGUAUUUCAUGGAAAAGAAAAAAGCUGUGCCAUUAUGAAUAUUCUGUACUAAACAAAACCCAAGAGGGGACAUUUAGGGUUCCACAUCUCACAUUUACUUUCAUUUGCACAGCAAGGGAGACGCACAGUAUUACCCCUACAACCACGGGCGAUUUUCCAUUUUAUCAUACAAAACUGUAGACCAAUUUUAUCCGUUAAUUAGAAUAGUUAUAGUUAUUUUAUUAAAGGAAUUAAUGAGAAAACUAAAAACUGAAUUUAGAAUUGAUUUUUGACAUUCAACACACAAUUGGUAUAAUACUAUGCAACAAGAUACCAGAGGAAAAAAAAAAAAAUUGCUGCAUAUCCUAUAUUUAAAAUUAAAGACAAGAUACUUCUAAUAAAGCACUGUUUAUAACAACACACGGAAAGUUCUGGUUGAGAAUAACGAAUUAUUUAGGAAUAGAGAGACGACACAGCACUUUUGCAGUCAUCUCUUUAUUCCUAAGUAAUUCAUUAAAGCACUGUUUCUAUUCUGUAAAAGAAUUUCUGAACACGUAAUUAAAAAAGUUAAUUAAAAAUUAAAUUGUAAGAGUACCUUAGUUGCCUGUGUGCUAAUACUAUGUAUUAUUGCAACUUUCAUUUGACGUGUCCAAUAUCAAUUGUGCUUUAUGAUAUGAAUAAAUUCAAUGCACGAAACAUAAAAAUCACGCUCAACUUUAUAAAACUUACUGAUAACAUCUCUUGAGUGUAGUGCACCCUGAAGCAAGGAUACCUACACAAGCUCGCUAAAAUGACUACAAAAUUGCCUGUGCGAGAAGGUGUACGUGUAAGUUUAUGGAUGAGAGCUGAGAAUGUGUAAAAUGUGACUUCCGAUGUUCCAGCACAACAUAAAAAGAUUUGGCGGGAAAAUAGUGACAUCUGACGUACAAACAGCCCACAAACUAUAUCCAACAGAGUAACGGCAUGCCCUGUGGAAUUGCACAGAAAGAACCGAACGCACAUGUGAGCAUCGCCCGCAGCUGAGGGUUAAGGUCUCUGCAGAUUAUUUAGGAAAAUUCCAUAAUGUGGUAUAAAGGAACCAGUGAAAUAAGGGUAAAGGAAUAAACUUGCAUAAAAAUAACAAAGAACCACUAAAAGUCAUGGCUGAAACUCCUUUCUGCUUUAAUAGCAGCAGAGACAAGAGCUGCCAAUUCCAUUUUUGAGCAAAAUAUUUUGACAAUUGAAGACUACUAGCUCAGCUGUCUAUUGUGCACAAAUUUGGAAAAACAACUCUAUUGGACACCCAAAAAUGUACUGUCUAUCAUACCGUGGAAAAAACAUGUUACCGUCAAAAAUGUACUGCACAGAACAUGGCUGUGUCCAAUCUGAUGCCUCCUUUUUCAUGCAAAUUUUUGCCCACUUACAGCUUCAAAACUGAAAGGCCUUCUGCAUUAAGUGAAAUAGCAUGCUCAGUCUGUACAAUUAAGAUAGAAUAACGCUCACAUCAAGCCGACAGAGCACUCGACAUAUGCAAAGCGAUCACUGGAAAAUGCGGCAGCCGUGCUGGAAUCUCCGUUAUAAUGAUACUUCCUUCUAUUUGUAAUCCAAUCUGAUACUUCACACUUACGUUACGAUACUACAAGAAUCUGUUCUACAAUCUACCAUCAAAAGGAAAAAAAAUCAGAACAACUAUGUGCUAACAUAAUUUAAGAAUGACUGGUUUAACAGCACAGUAUGCAAGCUUUCUGCAUGGAUGUUUGAUGCCAUAUGCUGACUUUUUCCUACUCUUCCAGCAGGUCACAUCCUGACCUAAUGGUACUUCGCUUCCGGUAACAAAUAUUGUGUUCUACAGGAAGUGCAGCAAAGGUAUUGGUGUAAUAAUGUGCAGUUGUGCUCUCGGGUAGGAGGGGUGGAAUGGUCCAGAAUAAGGGUCCCCGAGGUAUUGCCGAGAAUACCUGGCCCACUCUGGUAGGCCCGGCACUCGGCUGCUCUCCACUGUGUCGGGAUGCGAACCCUACACACUGACCUCCCCCUGACCACGCACCGCAGAAACGACCGACACCAGUGUAACUUACAGGCAACAAAAACAGUUACUUUUCUUGUAUAAAAUAUUAAUUCUCUUCUAAUCCUGUUAUGUCAACAACAAGGAGACAAAUACCAACACCAUAGAGAUUAUAACAAAAAUGCAAUUUAUGAAAUAAUCACAGCCCACGAGCAACAUAAUUUUCAGAACAGGAGAGACACCCAUAUGAGAACAAGUUAACCCUCACAUGGAAAUAAACCCCCUUUUUUUAAGGGGAGGAGGGAUAUUGCUUUGAAAGCCAACAAAAUGUUUUCAAUCAAUUUUCAGUCCACCUGCAACACCAAUUAUUAACAAAAUUUAACUGCACAUUACAGAUUUUGACUUCUCUAAGCAGCUUAUCUGCUCAAUAUCUGUCACCAGCUCAUGCAAGUUUACCACCAGCUCCUAAUUUACAUGCAAGAAUACUCUAUUUUGUCCACUAGGUGUAAAAAGACUACAAUCAAUUUUCUAGGACUUCAAUUUGUUAGUACAACCAGCCACCACUAUAAAACAGUAUUUAUGGUUCAUCAAUGAACAAACAUCUCUAAAAUUUUCUUGUUAAUGUCUAAUUUAUAAAGUUAGUUUUCAAAGACUAUCUCAUUUUCACUGACAGAA
Molecule: long non-coding RNA, 2869 nt
Organism: Schistocerca cancellata (South American locust)
Lineage: Eukaryota; Metazoa; Arthropoda; Insecta; Orthoptera; Acrididae
Exons: 2
Source: RefSeq, a predicted model, not a curated record